AUUUCUUUGAGGAAGUAUCCUUCAAGGCUGGUAAUGGACUCAAGAUCAGAUUUUGGCAAGACAGAUGGCUUGGGAACUCUAGGCUAAAAGACUCUUUCCCCUCCUUGUUCCAGAUAGCCUCCAACAAAGAAGCAACUAUAGCCCAGUACAGAGACAACAACCAUUGGACACCUAUUUUCAGAAGGAACUUCCAGGAUUGGGAGAUUAAUGACCUCCUUUCCCUCUUAGAAACUCUGCAAAACACUACAUUGGUGGUCGAAGAUCAAGACAAGAUUCUUUGGGGUAAUUCUAAGGAGAAGACCUACACGGUGAAAGAAUGUUACAAAAAUUUGAGCUACCAGAAUGGCAUUCUACUA
This 356-nucleotide unclassified non-coding RNA is filed under the name Hevea brasiliensis (rubber tree). Lineage: Eukaryota; Viridiplantae; Streptophyta; Magnoliopsida; Malpighiales; Euphorbiaceae. The record is from RNAcentral.